Molecule: ribosomal RNA, 400 nt
Filed under: uncultured bacterium
Lineage: Bacteria
Description: bacterial SSU rRNA
Rfam family: Bacterial small subunit ribosomal RNA
Source: RNAcentral
GGGGAAUAUUGCACAAUGGGCGAAAGCCUGAUGCAGCGACGCCGCGUGAGUGAUGACGUAUUUCGGUAUGUAAAGCUCUAUCAGCAGGGAAGAUAAUGACGGUACCUGACUAAGAAGCCCCGGCUAACUACGUGCCAGCAGCCGCGGUAAUACGUAGGGGGCAAGCGUUAUCCGGAUUUACUGGGUGUAAAGGGUGCGUAGGUGGUAUGAUAAGUCAGAAGUGAAAGGUGAGGGCUCAACCCUUAGACUGCUUUUGAAACUAUCAAACUAGAGUGCAGGAGAGGUAAGUGGAAUUCCUAGUGUAGCGGUGAAAUGCGUAGAUAUUAGGAGGAACACCAGUGGCGAAGGCGGCUUACUGGACUGUAACUGACACUGAGGCACGAAAGCGUGGGGAGCAAAC